Molecule: ribosomal RNA, 440 nt
Filed under: uncultured bacterium
Lineage: Bacteria
Description: partial 16S ribosomal RNA
Rfam family: Bacterial small subunit ribosomal RNA
Source: RNAcentral
CCUACGGGAGGCAGCAGUGGGGAAUAUUGCACAAUGGGGGAAACCCUGAUGCAGCGACGCCGCGUGAGUGAAGAAGUAAUUCGUUAUGUAAAGCUCUAUCAGAAGGGAAGAAAAUGACGGUACCUGAGUAAGAAGCCCCGGCUAACUACGUGCCAGCAGCCGCGGUAAUACGUAGGGGGCAAGCGUUAUCCGGAUUUACUGGGGGUAAAGGGAGCGUAGACGGCAGUGCAAGUCCGGAGGUGAAGGCGGGGGCGCAACCCCCGGACUGUUCUGGAAACUGUACGGCUGGAGUGCAGGAGAGGUAAGUGGAAUUCCUAGUGUAGCGGUGAAAUGCGUAGAUAUUAGGAGGAACACCAGUGGCGAAGGCGGCUUACUGGACUGUAACUGACGUUGAGGCUCGAAAGCGUGGGGAGCAAACAGGAUUAGAUACCCGGGUAGUC